Molecule: long non-coding RNA, 1050 nt
Organism: Mandrillus leucophaeus (drill)
Lineage: Eukaryota; Metazoa; Chordata; Mammalia; Primates; Cercopithecidae
Exons: 2
Source: RefSeq, a predicted model, not a curated record
CACGAGGGAUUGGUUCCAGGAACCCCAGGGAUGCCCAAAUCUGCAGUUAGCCCUGCGGAAUCCACACAUGAAGUUUUGGCUCUCCAUAUAUUUGAGGGGUCUGCAUCCCUCAAAUACUGUAUUUUCAAAUGUGCAUUGGUUGAAAAAAACAAAAAAAUCUGUUCGAGUGAACCCAUGCAGUUCAAAUCCGUGUUGCUCAAUAGUGAACUGUAUUUUGAAAAGCAAAGCAGGAUUUUGUCUUUUUGGCUUUUGUUUCAGUGCAGUAUUUAUUUUGAAAUUUCACAUAUCAAAAACAAUCUUGGUUUAUGUUUGUCAGAGGAUUUAAAAGUUUGAGAAACAUACUUCCAAGUCUAUUGAGAACAUAUAACAUAAAGAAAGUGUAUGUAUAAAAUAGAGCUAAGUGAUUUCACCACUGCAGUCUAGGGCCUAGUAUAGGUUUGUGCUGGCCCUCACCCUGUUCCAGACUGUGUACUUCAUUCUCUUUUGUUGGAUGUAGUGGACACAGAUAAAUAGUAGUGGCUGGCUGAUAAGAGAAUCAAGAACUGAUACCCAACAACGGAUAAGCAACUCCUAAAGCCAUCUGCUAAGGCUUUCAAGCCCUUCUCCUUUAGCUGAAGACAACAGUUAUCUGCCAAAAGGCAGAACACCAGUCCAUUUGACUUGGCACACCAAGUUUAAUCUCUAGUUGAACUACUCCCACAACCUGAGCAGAUGCACCUCUACUAGGACUGGUCAUUUUCCCCAAUCCUCUUCCUGCCCAGACCUUAAUGAGGGGUGCUCUUCCUUUCUCACUUUAAAUGUACAUAGCGGCAGGAAAAAAAAAAUGUCAAUACUGAACCAAAUGGGUAAAUCACACUUUAACUGCAAACUCAAGAGAAGACACAACCUAUGUAAGUAUACAUACAUUUAACAUAAGGAAAAGCAACAUACUCAUAGAUCUCUGAGGGAAAAGGCCUAAUGGUGAACCAACACCAUACAGGGAUUAAAACCUAGUAACAAAAUCCUUCUCUAUAAACACUUCAAAGUAAACAGGGUAUAUGCUCAUUGAAA